RNAcentral lists this transfer RNA (72 nucleotides) under Effusibacillus lacus. It matches the Rfam family "tRNA". Rfam says of the family: Transfer RNA (tRNA) molecules are approximately 80 nucleotides in length. Their secondary structure includes four short double-helical elements and three loops (D, anti-codon, and T loops). Lineage: Bacteria; Bacillati; Bacillota; Bacilli; Caryophanales; Alicyclobacillaceae. The record is from Rfam by way of RNAcentral.
GGCCCCAUGGUCAAGUGGUUAAGACACCGCCCUUUCACGGCGGUAACAGGGGUUCGAAUCCCCUUGGGGUCA